UCUCUGGCACUCCAGCAUAUCCAGCCUGUGCACUAAGCCCUUCUUCCACUGGAGGGAAGUACAGGCAGCUGAGGCUGGUGACUGCUGCUUCACACCGCACAGAUCUGACACAAGUCACGCCUGAGACAGCCGACUACGGUCUGGAAAGACUGUCCUCCGGCAAGCAUGCCGGGGAGGCAUGCUGACCACUAGCGCCAUGUCUCAGAAGGGAAGCUGGUAACUCCAGUGUCCGCUCUGCCAUUCCUCUUCAGUCCUGUGUGUGUGGCUGACAGCACCAGAUACCCCAGCUAUGCCAACGUGGCAGCUUCCAGUGCUGGUGGAAGCAGAAAGUGAAGAUCAUUUGUGCUGAAUCAGAGUGGUUAGGAAGCAUGUGGAUGCCUCCGCUCAACUGCGUGGAUGAUGGCCAGUACUGCUGACAGAAUGAGAUGCAGCCGGCAUUCCUGAGCAUCAGCUGUCCUGGAAGCCAGAGGUCCGCUCGGCAGAGUGGCCAUCUGGCUG
This is a long non-coding RNA of Peromyscus eremicus (cactus mouse), 498 nucleotides long. RefSeq lists it as uncharacterized. The record is from RefSeq and is a predicted model, not a curated record. Lineage: Eukaryota; Metazoa; Chordata; Mammalia; Rodentia; Cricetidae. The transcript has 3 exons.